Molecule: long non-coding RNA, 939 nt
Organism: Poecilia reticulata (guppy)
Lineage: Eukaryota; Metazoa; Chordata; Actinopteri; Cyprinodontiformes; Poeciliidae
Source: RefSeq, a predicted model, not a curated record
CGCGGCGAAAGCGUGCGCGCUCAAACCUCAGGCCGCUCAGCUUCGCAGCAAACACACCGACUUCUGUGUGAACCCUCUUCCUGUGAAAGUUUACAGAUCCAGAGUGCAGAGCCGUUCCACAUGGCCGGCCUUUCAACAAGGAGUCCAGGAUUAAAGUCUAUUGGGAUUUCCGUGCUGCUUCUGGUCAUCCUCCUUCAAGUCUUGCUGCUGCACUUUCCUGGUGUCUUCAUCCACUCCGAGAAAGUCCUCAUCGGCCCUGUAAUCUUUUGUGAAAACAAUCAACACGGUGAACUAAUUUGUAGUCAAACGGGAUGGUCAGAUCACUCUGGUCAGAAAAUGUACAGUAUUGAAGCGAUGCUCGCUCUGUGUUUUUAUGUUCCAAUCGUGCUUGUGGCCUUUGCCCUGCUCUGCAUGCUGCUAGCUACUUACGCCAGAGACAGAACAACACUCCGGUGCAGCAUGGUCUGCCAGGCAGCAUCAGCCCUGCUCACUCUGGGAGGCAUCAUUACGUUUUUGGCAUAUUUUCACUCCUACUUGAGUUGGAAAGACAUGACACUUUGGUUUUAUUUAUGUGUUGGUGUAGAGGUAGAGUUGAUUGUCACAACUGUACUUACAAGGGUUUUAGGACAGAAGCUGACUUCUGACUGGGAAUAAACGGAUUCAGGCUGCACCAGAUUCCACAGGACCACAAGAUUAACCUUAUUUUAUUUGUAUUGUCUGUGUUAAAAUCGUAUUGCUGAUGUAUAUUAUUACCUAUGCUUGAAAUGAUUUACUUUAGUAGAUCAAGUUUGUUUUUACUGCUGUACCAAUGAGAUGUCUGGACAAGCUCUUUUGUAAGAGGAUAAGAAUGAAAAUGUGACAAAAAAACAAAGCCAUUAUCAGUGUUGUACCUUCAGAUGUUAAAUCUCAUAAACUGUGUUUACAAAAAACCCUCCUGAA